Molecule: long non-coding RNA, 301 nt
Organism: Schistocerca cancellata (South American locust)
Lineage: Eukaryota; Metazoa; Arthropoda; Insecta; Orthoptera; Acrididae
Exons: 3
Source: RefSeq, a predicted model, not a curated record
CAUUGACAGCCACUGUACGGAUCACUCAAUGUGUGUGUGUGCGGAUAUGGUAAACAAGCUCAUUACAGCAUGAGCAGUAGGCAUGGAAUGUUAUCGAGAAAUCCGUGUGGUUGGUAGGGGUUCAUUCGGAGCAGUGCAUCUCUGCGAGAGGCGUUCAGAUGGCCAGCAGGUGGUCGUGAAGCAUGUAUCCAUCUCGCAGAUGACUGACAGCGAAAUGGCGGCGAGCUGCACGGAGGUGCGUGUGCUGUCGAUGGUGCAGCACCCUCUGGUCGUGCGCUACCUGGACAGCGUGGUGCAGGAG